This is a long non-coding RNA of Anthonomus grandis grandis, 1205 nucleotides long. RefSeq lists it as uncharacterized. NCBI's taxonomy places the organism in Eukaryota, Metazoa, Arthropoda, Insecta, Coleoptera, Curculionidae. The record is from RefSeq and is a predicted model, not a curated record. The transcript is spliced from 2 exons.
UGUCAUCGAGUUAACGACUUUUCGUGAUUAAAAUGCAAAAGUAGGUGCGGGUUGGGGGACACUCAAAUAAAACAAAAUACGUAAACGUAAAUAUUUAAAUUUUAAUUAAUUAUUCAAACUGUAACGGCGAACGUCUCUCUCGGCAAAUAUUAUUUUAUUUUAAUACUAAAACGGUUUACGUUUUAAUAAAUGCGCACCCGGAAAUAAUUGUUUUGUUUCGGUUUCGUGCUUUUCGGCACGGAUAAAAGACGAUCGAUAUACGAAAUGUUAUUACGUAUUAAUUGAAUUUGUUUUGAAAAUUUAAUUAACCCCUCUUCUUUUAUUAUUCACUUAGUUACGAUAAUGUUAAUUUAGAAGAGAGACAUUUUACGUGCACACUAGUUUUUACAGUCAUAUUUUUUUUUCAAAAUGUCAUUUGUACGACAAAGGGAAGUUUAAAGGAGGCAGUAGCAUUUAACACACCCACUAGAUAAAAUUUUGAACGAUGAGUGUCACUCAUGACAGUAACGUCGCCCAAAAAACCGCCAUCUUAUAACAGGGAAUAUCAAGAAGGAUCUCCAACCCGCACCUCAACUUUUCAAAUUCAAAACGUUUAUUUGCCAAUAUCCAAAAUUACAAAACAGUUGUACUUAUGAUGUAAGUGAAGUUAGCAAAUAGGAAUGCAUCUCGAUUAUAAAAACCGUUUCUCAAAAGUACCUCUGCAAGAGGCACUUUUAAGUGAUACAUCCUCAAGAAAAGCAACAAAAAGGAAACAAAAUAACAAGAAAACUAAAAAAAACCCUACUAAUAUUUCUUUGAUACUUUUUGAUAGUGAGAGCUUGAAAAAAAUAAAAAAAAAAAAACAAUUUAUUUAUAUUUAUGUACACAGGGCAGGGGUAGGCAGCGACUGAAUCAGGGAAGCGCAGGAGAGGAAACAUCAUACUGUGACUGCAUAAGCAUAUUUCUUAUGUACUUCUUAUACUUAUAAAGAGAAUAAUCUUAUAACACAAUGAGGCAAAUUGUUCCACAAAUGAACUGCAACGUAACUAAAUGAUUUUUGAAAAGCUUCUGUUGUAUGCUGAGGAACCCUAAAAAUAUUAAACCGUCUGGUAUUAUGGUUGUGUUCAUGCACAUUGAAAAGUUUUCUUAUAUAUGAUGACUUUAAAAUUCUGUAUAGUUAUGAAAGAGUACAUGUGAUAUUUGAAAGAAUAAAAUGAUUGUUAAGA